AUUGAACGCUAGCGGGAUGCUUUACACAUGCAAGUCGAACGGCAGCGCGGACUUCGGUCUGGCGGCGAGUGGCGGACGGGUGAGUAAUGUAUCGGAACGUGCCCAGUAGCGGGGGAUAACUACGCGAAAGCGUAGCUAAUACCGCAUACGCCCUACGGGGGAAAGCAGGGGAUCGUAAGACCUUGCACUAUUGGAGCGGCCGAUAUCGGAUUAGCUAGUUGGUGAGGUAAAGGCCCACCAAGGCGACGAUCCGUAGCUGGUUUGAGAGGACGACCAGCCACACUGGAACUGAGACACGGCCCAGACUCCUACGGGAGGCAGCAGUGGGGAAUUUUGGACAAUGGGGGCAACCCUGAUCCAGCCAUCCCGCGUGUGCGAUGAAGGCCUUCGGGUUGUAAAGCACUUUUGGCAGGAAAGAAACGUCGCGGGCUAAUACCCCGUGGAACUGACGGUACCUGCAGAAUAAGCACCGGCUAACUACGUG
This 484-nucleotide ribosomal RNA is filed under the name uncultured bacterium. RNAcentral's name for it is "partial 16S ribosomal RNA". It matches the Rfam family "Bacterial small subunit ribosomal RNA", at positions 30 to 507 of the family's 1533-position model. The record is from RNAcentral.